Molecule: long non-coding RNA, 386 nt
Organism: Oncorhynchus tshawytscha (Chinook salmon)
Lineage: Eukaryota; Metazoa; Chordata; Actinopteri; Salmoniformes; Salmonidae
Source: Ensembl
ACAACACAGAGACAGCAACAGAAGAAUGGGUGAUGGAGAAAGACACCCCAGACAAGACAUAGAGACCGGAACAGAAGAGGAGAGACACAUCGCACAAGACAGAGACAGCAACAGAAGAAUAGGUGAUGGAGAAAGACACCCCAGACAAGACAAAGAGACCGGAACAGAAGAGGAGAGACACAUCGGACAAGACAGAGACAGAGACAGCAACAGAAGAAUAGGUGAUGGAGAAAGACACACCAGACAAGACAUAGAGACCGGAACAGAAGAGGAGAGACACAUCGGACAAGACAGAGACAGAGACAGCAACAGAAGAAUAGGUGAUGGAGAAAGACACCCCAGACAAGACAUAGAGACCAGAACAGAAGAGGAGAGACACAUCGGAC